CAAAACUUAAUUAAGAAUUAAGAAGUUGUUUGAUUAGGUUCUAGGAUUGUGAAUUGAAGAACCUAAGACACAAAUCAUAAUACAUUGGGUUAAUGGGUUAGUGGGAAUUAGGUCCAUUAAUUGGGUUAGACCUAUGGUUAGAUUGAAGAUGGACUUAAUUAGAGAAUUGACUAAAUCUAAUUAAUUGUUGUCUUAGAUUAGGUCAAGGAUUCUCUAGAUCAAUUACAAUAGUUGUAGUUGGUCAAGUCCAUGUCUUUAACAAGAACCAAAUGGACUUGAUUCUUGGCUAAGCGGUCUAGCACGAACUGUUAGGUUGAUCUAAUCGAAACUAAUUAAACCAGUUGGUGUCUAAGGUAAACCAGACCGGUGGUUUUUAAUUGGGAGCUCACUUACCUGGCCAUUUCUGAU
Molecule: long non-coding RNA, 408 nt
Filed under: Elaeis guineensis (African oil palm)
Lineage: Eukaryota; Viridiplantae; Streptophyta; Magnoliopsida; Arecales; Arecaceae
Description: long non-coding RNA (EGUI_LNC037989)
Source: RNAcentral